Molecule: long non-coding RNA, 600 nt
Filed under: Rattus norvegicus (Norway rat)
Lineage: Eukaryota; Metazoa; Chordata; Mammalia; Rodentia; Muridae
Description: long non-coding RNA NONRATT015762
Source: RNAcentral
ACUGUAUGAACCUACAGUAAAAAUGCUCAUUUCAGUAACCAGUAUGUUUACAACUGGUAACAAAUAGGUUCUAGUCUCUCAUCACGCUUGCAUUCUAUCCAGAAGUUUUCAUGUGUACAUAUUUAUUAAGUCAUCCUUUUUUUGAUACAAUUUGUGAAGCAAGAGUGAAAAUUUUUAGAAAUUUCAAGUAAUUAUCUUAACCUUUUCCGGUGUGUAGAAAUGAAUAUAGUAAUGAAAUAAAUGUUGCAUGCUUCCUGUGGUGCUAAAGAUUGACUGCCCGUUAGCCAAUGAGCAAGCUGAGUAUAAUUUAGAAAUUAAAAUUAGGCGAUUUCUGAUUGUCUUUUUACUUGCUUCAUUGUAACUACACGUUUUGGAGUCUCAUAUAUUAGCUAUUGGUUUUCUUCUGGAUGCCUCUGAAAUAAAGAUGAUCAUCUUUUUGACUAGUUGGAAGAGGAGUUGUAAAAGUGAAAAUGAAACAAGCACGCGGUUUUGAAAUUUGUAGCUUUAGUUUUUCAAGGAGUAGCAAUUUUGUAUAGACAGUGUAAAAAUAUAUUUAUCAUCACGUGAAACUUGAAUGAAAUUUGAAAGAAAAGAAAAAAA